RNAcentral lists this non-coding RNA (182 nucleotides) under Gammaproteobacteria bacterium. RNAcentral describes it as "6S RNA". It matches the Rfam family "6S / SsrS RNA". From Rfam's summary of the family: E. coli 6S RNA was the first non coding RNA to be sequenced, but its function was unknown until recently. It consists of 184 nucleotides that fold into an extended hairpin structure with a large single-stranded internal bulge. The record is from RNAcentral. Lineage: Bacteria; Pseudomonadati; Pseudomonadota; Gammaproteobacteria.
GUGCCUCUGUGGCAUGCGCCAGUAGCCGGGUAUUAUCCUUGAGCCUAAUUUUAACCCCGGGGAUCUGGUUUCGAAACUGGUGUGCGUUACCGCAUUGACGGGAGGCCUAAAGGUUUCGACAGGAACCCCACUUGAACCUUUUGGUUCAAGGUCGAACGCCGCAGCGGUGCGAUGGAGUCACC